This is a long non-coding RNA of Chlorocebus sabaeus (green monkey), 1790 nucleotides long. RefSeq lists it as uncharacterized. Lineage: Eukaryota; Metazoa; Chordata; Mammalia; Primates; Cercopithecidae. The record is from RefSeq and is a predicted model, not a curated record.
CACUGCGGGUCUUGGAACACAUCACCCCUUGAAUAAGGGGUCUAUAGUAUUUCAGGCAGAGUGAAGGGGAAGGGCAAGGGGUAGAGGGUCUUUCUUCCAGCUGAAUCAGUCCCCUUGAAAAAGACUUCGCAGAAACCUCACCCUGGGACUUUUGUCUGGAUUCAAGAGAGGCAGCAAAAUGCAGUCUUUUAGCUGCGCAUGUUGCAGCCCUGAAUAGAGCCCAAGGUCUGUUAAUUAAGGAAGAAGCAGGGAAUGGACAUUGGGUAGACUGUUGUGGUGUGUUUGGAGGAACGUCAAGUUCUUAGUGUUGCCAGAGCCUGAGGUGCCAGAGGGCACGUGGUGGGAGGAACGUGGUGCAGCACCCAGCCACUCAGGAAAGGGGAGGCACAGCCAAGACGGGGGCAGGAUGGAAAGUCCAUGGAUGCUGCAGGGCUUAGACCUAGCCUUAAAUGUGAAUCCAUCCCUGGAGUUGGAGUAUCAGGGUAUUUCUUUUCUCUUUUGGCUCCUUUCCUUCUUCCAUUUUUUUUCCUUCCCUCCUUUUCCACUUUAUUCUUCCCCUUCCUUCCCAUUCCACUUCUCUCUUCGCAAGAGCUGCAGAUUUGGGUUCCAGUCUGAGAUGAGUUGGAAGGUGGGGAGGAGCCCUGCUCUCAGGCACAGUGGAUUGAAGGGGGGCUGAAUCAGUCACAUGGUGUUUGAGGACUCCCAUUGUAAAUCAGGGAUUCUUGCAGCCUGCUUUUUCAGGGACAUUGGCUGCUGUCUUCUGACCACUCUGUGUGACUUUGGCGUCUCCUGUGACCUCCCAGUAUGGGUCUUGGUGUCAUCCUGCCUCUCUGUCUUUCUGGCCCACCACCCCCAACUUGAAUCUCAGGCUCCAACAGUUGCCUGACCCCCAGAUUCUGAUGACAGCCUACCUACUUGUUCUUCAGACCCUGACCAGACUCACUGCCCAGACACACCAUACACGAGAACAUGAAAGGGUAUUUGAGUUUGGGGCCAUGUCAUAGGAUGCACCUUGAAAUGAGCCACGAAAUGUGCAGUCUAAUGGUCUCUGUUGAUCCAUUUGCUGUCUGUGAAACUCCAGAAGUCAGGUAAUUAACUAUUUCUUCUGCAAUACAGUGUCUUUAUACUUAACAGUUAUUCUAAUUCUUUAUAUAACCAUUAACAUCUACAUCUGAGUCAUAAAGCAUUGAAAUGAACCCUUGGUUAUUGUAUUUUCAGCUAAUAAUUAAUGCUAUGCACCAUGUGAUCAUAAACCUGCUCUCUUUUUUUUGCAUUAAUUGGUAACCUGGUCCAACCAGACUCUUAACACGAUUGUCCCCGUGUGAGUUUAGUCAUUAUUUUGACUUCACUGAUUAUUGGCAUUUAUUACUUAAGAGCUAAGAAACAGCAACUAAUUGAACAUAUUAUGAAACAUGUUUCCUCCUGCCUUUUCCAUUGUGGGAAAGCAUGACUGCUUAAUGGGCCACUGCUUAUCCCCAUUCAAAUCCUGUGUGCAUUGACUUUGUAGAUUACACCUCAGAAGACUUCUCAUGUUUCGUUUCCCCACAUUUUCUAUGGACAAAUUUCCAUCAACUACAUAUACUGCUUUGCAGAAACGAACAUCUCAAAAUCUGAGGAAGAGUAGAUAAUUUUAGGAAGGGUGACAGAAUGGGGAAAGCGGUAAACAGUAUCUGAAGAAGUAGAAAAUGACUUGAAUUUUAGAAUUGGGUUAUGGUGGCCAGGCGCGGUGGCUCAAACCUGUCAUCCCAGCACUUUGAAAGGCUGAGGUGGGUGGAUCGUUUGAGGUCAGG